GGAUGAACGCUAGCGACAGGCUUAACACAUGCAAGUCGAGGGGCAGCACAGGGUAGCAAUACUUGGGUGGCGACCGGCGCACGGGUGAGUAACGCGUAUGCAACUUACCUAUCAGAGGGGGAUAGCCCGGCGAAAGUCGGAUUAAUACCCCAUGAAACAGGGGUCCCGCAUGGGAUAUUUGUUAAAGAUUCAUCGCUGAUAGAUAGGCAUGCGUUCCAUUAGGCAGUUGGCGGGGUAACGGCCCACCAAACCGACGAUGGAUAGGGGUUCUGAGAGGAAGGUCCCCCACAUUGGUACUGAGACACGGACCAAACUCCUACGGGAGGCAGCAGUGAGGAAUAUUGGUCAAUGGCCGAGAGGCUGAACCAGCCAAGUCGCGUGAAGGAAGAAGGAUCUAUGGUUUGUAAACUUCUUUUAUAGGGGAAUAAAGUGGAGGACGCGUCCUUUUUUGUAUGUACCCUAUGAAUAAGCAUCGGCUAACUCCGUGCCAGCAGCCGCGGUAAUACGGAGGAUGCGAGCGUUAUCCGGAUUUAUUGGGUUUAAAGGGUGCGUAGGUGGUGAUUUAAGUCAGCGGUGAAAGUUUGUGGCUCAACCAUAAAAUUGCCGUUGAAACUGGGUUACUUGAGUGUGUUUGAGGUAGGCGGAAUGCGUGGUGUAGCGGUGAAAUGCAUAGAUAUCACGCAGAACUCCGAUUGCGAAGGCAGCUUACUAAACCAUAACUGACACUGAAGCACGAAAGCGUGGGGAUCAAACAGGAUUAGAUACCCUGGUAGUCCACGCAGUAAACGAUGAUUACUAGGAGUUUGCGAUACAAUGUAAGCUCUACAGCGAAAGCGUUUAGUAAUCCACCUGGGGAGUACGCCGGCAACGGUGAAACUCAAAGGAAUUGACGAGGGCCGGCACAAGCGGAGGGAACAAUGUGGUUUAAUUCGAUGAUACGCGAGGAACCUUACCCGGGUUUGAACGUAGUCUGACCGGAGUGGAAACACUUUUUCUAGCAAUAGCAGAUUACGAGGUGCUGCAUGGUUGUCGUCAGCUCGUGCCGUGAGGUGUCGGCUUAAGUGCCAUAACGAGCGCAACCCUUAUCACUAGUUACUAACAGGUGAAGCUGAGGACUCUGGUGAGACUGCCAGCGUAAGCUGUGAGGAAGGUGGGGAUGACGUCAAAUCAGCACGGCCCUUACAUCCGGGGCGACACACGUGUUACAAUGACAUGGACAAAGGGCAGCUACCUGGCGACAGGAUGCUAAUCUCCAAACCAUGUCUCAGUUCGGAUCGGAGUCUGCAACUCGACUCCGUGAAGCUGGAUUCGCUAGUAAUCGCGCAUCAGCCAUGGCGCGGUGAAUACGUUCCCGGGCCUUGUACACACCGCCCGUCAAGCCAUGGGAGCCGGGGGUACCUGAAGUCCGUAACCGCAAGGAUCGGCCUAGGGUAAAACUGG
RNAcentral lists this ribosomal RNA (1440 nucleotides) under uncultured organism. RNAcentral describes it as "16S ribosomal RNA". It matches the Rfam family "Bacterial small subunit ribosomal RNA". The record is from RNAcentral.